Non-coding RNA from Microcebus murinus (gray mouse lemur), 834 nucleotides. Lineage: Eukaryota; Metazoa; Chordata; Mammalia; Primates; Cheirogaleidae. The record is from RefSeq and is a predicted model, not a curated record.
AUGUUGGAACUUCUUAAAUGUAAUCAGUGUGAAACAGCCUUCAGCCAAAAUCCACUUAUUCUGGUUUGCAAGAAAACUCACACUCAAGAGAAACUGUAUAAAUGCAAUGAUUGUGGAAAAGGCUUACUUUCCUCCUCACACCUUAGGGAAUGUAAAUGUAUAAGAAUUCAUGUGGAGAGAGACCUUAUGUUUUUAAGGAGCAUGGGAAAGCCUUUUCUCAUUCUGUAGGCCUUUUUGUACACAUGCAAACUCAAAGAGGAGAAAAACCCUAUGAAUGUCAGAAAAGUGGGAAAGCUGUCACUCCAUCUUCAUAUCUUACUCCACAUUUAAGAGCUCACAGUAGAAUGAUGCCUAUGGAAUGUCAGAAGUUUGAGAAAGCUUUUGCUUAUUCCUAAGGUCUUGCUAAACAUGUAAGACUUAACAAUAGAGGGAAACACUAUGUUUGCAAGGAAUGUAGCAAAGAGUUUGUUUCUCAAAACUUAACAUUCACAUGCAAGUUCACACUGGAGAAAAACCAUAUGAGUGUCAUAUAAAUGUGGAAAAGCCUUCACUGAUUGUUCGGGUCUUAUAAAACAGAGGUGAACUCGCACUGGAGAAAAGCCUUAUGAAUGUAAGGAAUGUAAAAAAGCCUUUGCCAGCUCCUCCCAUCUUACUAUACAUAUGAGAACUCAUACUGGCGAGAAGCCUUAUCAAUGUAAGGAAUGUGGAAAAGCCUUUAGUAAUUCCUCUUGCUUUAAAAGUCACAUGCAGACUCACCCUGGUGUAAAACCCUAUGACUGUAAGCAGUGUGGGAAAGCCUUUAUUCAAUCCUCAUUUUUUUUUUUUUUUUUUUUU